RNAcentral lists this ribosomal RNA (305 nucleotides) under uncultured bacterium. RNAcentral's name for it is "bacterial SSU rRNA". It matches the Rfam family "Bacterial small subunit ribosomal RNA", at positions 337 to 659 of the family's 1533-position model. The record is from RNAcentral.
GCCUACGGGGGGCAGCAGUGGGGAAUAUUGCACAAUGGGGGAAACCCUGAUGCAGCGACGCCGCGUGAGUGAAGAAGUAUCUCGGUACGUAAAGCUCUAUCAGCAGGGAAGAAAAUGACGGUACCUGACUAAGAAGCCCCGGCUAACUACGUGCCAGCAGCCGCGGUAAUACGUAGGGGGCAAGCGUUAUCCGGAUUUACUGGGUGUAAAGGGAGCGUAGACGGCAGCACAAGUCUGGAGUGAAAGCCCGGGGCCCAACCCCGGGACUGCUUUGGAAACUGCCAUGCUGGAGUGCUGGAGAGGUA